Molecule: ribosomal RNA, 497 nt
Filed under: uncultured bacterium
Lineage: Bacteria
Description: partial 16S ribosomal RNA
Rfam family: Bacterial small subunit ribosomal RNA
Source: RNAcentral
GAUGAACGCUGGCGGCGUGCCUAAUACAUGCAAGUCGAGCGAACAGACGAGGAGCUUGCUCCUCUGACGUUAGCGGCGGACGGGUGAGUAACACGUGGAUAACCUACCUAUAAGACUGGGAUAACUUCGGGAAACCGGAGCUAAUACCGGAUAAUAUAUUGAACCGCAUGGUUCAAUAGUGAAAGACGGUUUUGCUGUCACUUAUAGAUGGAUCCGCGCCGCAUUAGCUAGUUGGUAAGGUAACGGCUUACCAAGGCAACGAUGCGUAGCCGACCUGAGAGGGUGAUCGGCCACACUGGAACUGAGACACGGUCCAGACUCCUACGGGAGGCAGCAGUAGGGAAUCUUCCGAAAUGGGCGAAAGCUUGACGGAGCAACGCCGCGUGAGUGAUGAAGGUCUUCGGAUCGUAAAACUCUGUUAUUAGGGAAGAACAAAUGUGUAAGUAACUAUGCACGUCUUGACGGUACCUAAUCAGAAAGCCACGGCUAACUACGUG